GAUGAACGCUGGCGGCGUGCCUAAUACAUGCAAGUCGAGCGAACAGACGAGGAGCUUGCUCCUCUGACGUUAGCGGCGGACGGGUGAGUAACACGUGGAUAACCUACCUAUACGACUGGGAUAACUUCGGGAAACCGGAGCUAAUACCGGAUAAUAUAUUGAACCGCAUGGUUCAAUAGUGAAAGACGGUUUUGCUGUCACUUAUAGAUUGAUACGCGGCGCAUUAGCUAGUUGGUAAGGUGACGGCUUACCAAGGCAACGAUGCGUAGCCGACCUGAGAGGGUGAUUCGCCACACGGGCUGUGAGACACGGUCGAGACUCCGACAGGAGGCAGCAGUAGGGAAUCUUCCGCAAUGCGCGAGAGCCUGACGGUGCAACGCCGCGGGAGGGAUGAAGGUCUUAGGACCGGAAAACUCUGUUAGUAGGGAAGAACAAAUGUGCAAGUAACUAUGCUCGUAUUGACGGUACCGAAACAGAAAGCCACGGCUAACUACGUG
Molecule: ribosomal RNA, 497 nt
Filed under: uncultured bacterium
Lineage: Bacteria
Description: partial 16S ribosomal RNA
Rfam family: Bacterial small subunit ribosomal RNA
Source: RNAcentral